AAAAGUCGUAACAAGGUCUCCGUUGGUGAACCAGCGGAGGGAUCAUUACCGAGUUUACAACUCCCAAACCCCUGUGAACAUACCUUAUGUUGCCUCGGCGGAUCAGCCCGCGCCCCGUAAAAAGGGACGGCCCGCCGCAGGAACCCUAAACUCUGUUUUUAGUGGAACUUCUGAGUAUAAAAAACAAAUAAAUCAAAACUUUCAACAACGGAUCUCUUGGUUCUGGCAUCGAUGAAGAACGCAGCAAAAUGCGAUAAGUAAUGUGAAUUGCAGAAUUCAGUGAAUCAUCGAAUCUUUGAACGCACAUUGCGCCCGCCAGUAUUCUGGCGGGCAUGCCUGUUCGAGCGUCAUUUCAACCCUCAAGCCCAGCUUGGUGUUGGGAGCUGCAGUCCUGCUGCACUCCCCAAAUACAUUGGCGGUCACGUCGAGCUUCCAUAGCGUAGUAAUUUACACAUCGUUACUGGUAAUCGUCGCGGCCACGCCGUUAAACCCCAACUUCUGAAUGUUGACCUCGGAUCAGGUAGGAAUACCCGCUGAACUUAAG
Molecule: ribosomal RNA, 544 nt
Filed under: Fusarium graminearum
Lineage: Eukaryota; Fungi; Ascomycota; Sordariomycetes; Hypocreales; Nectriaceae
Description: eukaryotic LSU rRNA
Rfam family: 5.8S ribosomal RNA (bases 197-350)
Source: RNAcentral